This 570-nucleotide ribosomal RNA is filed under the name Meyerozyma guilliermondii. RNAcentral describes it as "eukaryotic LSU rRNA". It matches the Rfam family "Eukaryotic large subunit ribosomal RNA", at positions 62 to 648 of the family's 3401-position model. The record is from RNAcentral. Lineage: Eukaryota; Fungi; Ascomycota; Pichiomycetes; Serinales; Debaryomycetaceae.
AAACCAACAGGGAUUGCCUUAGUAGCGGCGAGUGAAGCGGCAAAAGCUCAAAUUUGAAAUCUGGCGCCUUCGGUGUCCGAGUUGUAAUUUGAAGAUUGUAACCUUGGGGUUGGCUCUUGUCUAUGUUUCUUGGAACAGGACGUCACAGAGGGUGAGAAUCCCGUGCGAUGAGAUGCCCAAUUCUAUGUAAGGUGCUUUCGAAGAGUCGAGUUGUUUGGGAAUGCAGCUCUAAGUGGGUGGUAAAUUCCAUCUAAAGCUAAAUAUUGGCGAGAGACCGAUAGCGAACAAGUACAUUGAUGGAAAGAUGAAAAGAACUUUGAAAAGAGAGUGAAAAAGUCCGUGAAAUUGUUGAAAGGGAAGGGUUUGAGAUCAGACUCGAUAUUUUGUGAGCCUUGCCUUCGUGGCGGGGUGACCCGCAGCUUAUCGGGCCAGCAUCGGUUUGGGCGGUAGGAUAAUGGCGUAGGAAUGUGACUUUACUUCGGUGAAGUGUUAUAGCCUGCGUUGAUGCUGCCUGCCUAGACCGAGGACUGCGAUUUUAUCAAGGAUGCUGGCAUAAUGAUCCCAAACCGC